AAGUCGUAACAAGGUUACCUUCUGUAGCGCAGCUCCGGAGACCUUGCACCCCUUAUGGGAGGCAGCACGACAGUAAACAAAGCUCGCCGCGUGCAAGUUGGCUUAAAAUGUCAGCAACACAAUCGAAUUGACGGGGACCUCCUAAAGCCUGCAACACCAACCGUCCGGGGAAACUCGGGCGGGGCCCUCACGGGGUGGUAAGAGAGUGUAGGAUGCUACAAUGGACGAUCCGCAGCGAAGACCCUACCGGCUAUCGAGCCCACGGGUGCCGUU
Molecule: unclassified non-coding RNA, 273 nt
Filed under: Pezoloma sp.
Lineage: Eukaryota; Fungi; Ascomycota; Leotiomycetes; Helotiales; Discinellaceae
Description: partial contains internal transcribed spacer 1
Source: RNAcentral